This is a non-coding RNA of Gymnothorax javanicus (giant moray), 70 nucleotides long. The record is from the annotation of a GenBank genome assembly. Lineage: Eukaryota; Metazoa; Chordata; Actinopteri; Anguilliformes; Muraenidae.
GGCACGGUGGAACAGUGGCCAGCACUGUUGCCUCGCAGCAAGGUAGCGGGUUCGAAUCCAGCCUGGGGCC